RNAcentral lists this transfer RNA (71 nucleotides) under Marmota monax (woodchuck). RNAcentral describes it as "tRNA.Ala". The record is from RNAcentral. Lineage: Eukaryota; Metazoa; Chordata; Mammalia; Rodentia; Sciuridae.
UGGGGUGUGGCUCAGUGAUAGGGUGCUCGCCUAGCAUGCGCCGGGCCCUGGGUUCCACCCCAGCACUACAA